RNAcentral lists this small RNA (1043 nucleotides) under uncultured Pelagibacterales bacterium. RNAcentral describes it as "bacterial SSU rRNA". The stretch from base 1 to 658 matches the Rfam family "Bacterial small subunit ribosomal RNA", at positions 867 to 1533 of the family's 1533-position model. The record is from RNAcentral. Lineage: Bacteria; Pseudomonadati; Pseudomonadota; Alphaproteobacteria; Candidatus Pelagibacterales.
CACCGCCUGGGGAGUACGACCGCAAGGUUAAAACUCAAAUGAAUUGACGGGGACCCGCACAAGUAGUGGAGCAUGUGGUUUAAUUCGAAGAUACGCGCAGAACCUUACCAACACUUGACAUGUUCGUCGCGACUUUAAGAGAUUAAAGUUUUCGGUUCGGCCGGACGAAACACAGGUGCUGCAUGGCUGUUGUCAGCUCGUGUCGUGAGAUGUUGGGUUAAGUCCCGCAACGAGCGCAACCCUCACUUUUAGUUGCCAUCAUUAAGUUGGGCACUCUGAAAGAACUGCCAGUGAUAAGCUGGAGGAAGGUGGGGAUGACGUCAAGUCCUCAUGGCCCUUACGUGUUGGGCUACACACGUGCUACAAUGGUAUCUACAACAGGAAGCAAGACGGCGACGUUAAGCAAAUCCUUAAAAGAUACCUCAGUUCGGAUUGCACUCUGCAACUCGAGUGCAUGAAGCUGGAAUUACUAGUAAUCGUGGAUCAGCGUGCCACGGUGAAUGCGUUCCCGGGUCUUGUACACACCGCCCGUCACACCAUGGGAGUUGGUUCUACCUUAAGGCAAGGUUUCAAACCCUUGACCACGGUAUAGUCAGCGACUGGGGUGAAGUCGUAACAAGGUAGCCGUAGGGGAACCUGCGGCUGGAUUACCUCCUUUCUAAGGAUGAAUGAAAAUUGUUUUUCAUUCUAAAUAAUAUACAGGUUAAUGUUGACCGUCCUCAUUUCUCUUCUUAAUGUAGUGUUUCUCUUGCAUGGGGGCCGGUAGCUCAGUUGGUUAGAGCACACCCUUGAUAAGGGUGGGGUCGAAAGUUCGAGUCUUUCUCGGCCCACCAAUUUAUUAUGGGGGAUUAGCUCAGCUGGGAGAGCGCCUGAUUUGCAUUCAGGAGGUCAGCGGUUCGAUCCCGCUAUCCUCCACCAAACACUUAGUUAUAAAAAAUCGUAAAAAACUAAUAAUUAAUAUCAAUAUCUAUAUCCGAACAUUAGUAAUGUUAUUAGCUAAUGUUCAAUAAUAAAAAUUUGAUUCAACACAGAAUUUUUUUCUG